UGUUUCCAUACCUCAUAUGAAAUAGUUUUUUAUUUAUCUUUUCCACAAUAUAUUUGCUUAAUUAUCAUCUAAAACCAAUAAAAAUUAUAAAUCUUAAACAUAAGCUUUCCUUUGCAUCCAAAUUUUGCCAUCUCUGUUUAACAUGUAGACAUUAGUAUAAUAUUAUAUUUAAUAAUUAAUUGUCCCAGUUUUCUUUUUCAUGCUUUUUUAUUUUAUUAUUAUACACACCAAAUUUUAAUACCUAAGGUUAAGGGUUUUGAAAACCCCUAACCCAAAAGAUAAGCAAUGGUAACGGUGAUUAAUGUCUUAGCACGCAUGGCUAAUCAUCUUGUGCUGCAGUGAAUCAUAUCUGGGGCUGUUCUGAGCAAUGUGUCUUCCAUUUCUUAGCUUUUGAAUUAAAUGUGAAAAGCAGUGUUAAGGUGUAUCUGUUAUACAUGUGGAAGAGCGCAGAUUGGAGAUGGAAAUUUUACAUUAAGAGCGCAACGGUAUAAUUUAAAUACUCCUAACCCGGGACACAUAAAAUAUCAAUCUGAUUUACUGCCAGGUUAACUCCAUCAUUUCAAAUUUAUCAAUCAGCACAAGUUAGUAUCAGCGGUUUCAUUUAAUAUUACAUCAACCUGUCAAAGGAGCCAAGCUCAUCAGUAGCUAAUCUUUCCUUCGCCUCCUUCAAAAUCACACCGGCUCUCUCAUCCAGAGAGAAACACUUUCAUUUGAAAAGCAUUAGGCCUGUUCCUCUGUUCUCACUGUUCCUCCUUUCACCAUGAAGCUUUUAUCUAUCCCUUUAUCCCAGCGUUCCUGUCAGGACGUUAUCUCUCUCAAAAUUUACAUUUUAAUUACAAGGCCUGCUGAACUCGGGAAAAUCAAUAACGCCACCAUUGGCAGCUCCACUCUGUGUCUACUGCUGGUCCUCUCUAUUUCCUCUUAUUGAUUUAUCUCUUUAGCACCUGCAACUUUAUUGCUUCAGACAAAUAGCUACCAUUUGGUCAAUUUGAACAGAAAAAGAAAGGAUUUGGUCGUAUUUCUUGAUUUCACACACUUGAGCGCGGCUAUGAUGCAGUUGGUCAUUGAAAGGAGUUGAAUCUGGAUUAACUGUUUACACCAGAGGAUCAAGAUCUGCACAGCAAAAUCACCAGUGUUAAAUUUUCAGGGAUGGUGUUAAAUACACAGUGUUGAUGCUGUUUUAACACUAUCUGGUAAUAAAAUAACACUGCCAUUGCUAGGCCAGUGUUAUAUUCACGACAGUGUCAGUGUAAAACAAGGGUGUUAUCAGAUUUCACUCUGAGCGGUGUAAAUCAAGCCACGCCUCCACUAAACAUAUCCUGUCAGGGAUUUUACCGCCAUUUUCUUUCACCGGAGGACUGAAGAGAUCAGGUAAAUCAGUCUCAUAAUAUUCACAUGGUUUGGCUAAAUUAAACUGUUAUUUCUCUGUCUGACUCUACGCAGCCAUAUGCCAAAAAACCUAAAUAAGAUAUUUUUCCCAUUUUAUUUCCCCUUUGUUCGUUAUUUGGUUCAGUUUAAUCAGAGCUACCUUGUGUUACGUUGUUCCCUUGUUAGUUUAGUAUAAAGUUAAACUGCUAGCUAAAAGUUUAAAACCAAGAAGGAUAAUAUUAACAGGAGAUAUGAACGAAAGAAUUGAACCAUGAUAAAACGCGACAUGCACUACAAAUUGAAGGUAUGAAAUUAAGUUAAAUGAAAGCUCGUUUAUUCACCAUAUGAUGCUCGUUAUGAGGUAAUCAUAUAGGCUAGAUAUCGUGAGUUAACGAGGUCGUUUACAUGCACGUGAGUGCACGGAUAUCGGUUAAUUAUUCAAAUUACUGAAAAACACGGAGAAAACCGCAACCGCAUUGUCAUAUGUUUUUCUAAGAUGUAUGCAAACAGGGGAAAUAUCGCCAAACCAACAAUUAAUUUUACCAAAACCUCACAAUAUAUCAUCAUUUGUAUGCACAGAUUGCUGGAUUGGAUGCAUUGUGUGUUGUAAGCUUUUCGUGGCGCUAUAUGUCAGACAGAUGCAAAUGGCAAAUACAUACAAAGUGUAAAACGUGUAAGGCUAACGUGAACGUUUGUUUUUUUUCUGUCAUUAUAGAUGCUAGUUUGGUGAAAGUUCACACUGAGUGCUUCAAAUCAUUCAGAAGAGAUGCUGUUUUUAGGGCAGUUUAUUAAAGAAGACCUGACAUGGAUGACUUCCAAUGAGAAACGACUGCUAAUACUUAUAUAAAUUCAUUACAGAAGGACCCUACCAGACUAUAUUUGAAUACGGCAUACUCAUGAAUUCUGGAACUGUUAUUCCUUAACCCAGUUUGGAGGAUCAGAGCUUACCAACUAGUUAUAAAUAUGCUGAGGUGAUGUAUUGCAAAAUAGCCAACAUACAACAAUAUGGAUGACCCUCUGUCUGGUCAACAGGAGUUUAAAUAUGGACGGGACAGUGAUGUGGCAGCUCUUCCCUGGCUCAUUCACCUCUUGCCUUCAUUUGUGAAAGGAAGAAAGACUGGAGAGGGUCAAUGUGCAACUGAAGCUACUGAUUGUGCUAUGUGAUGAGCAUCAAUCCAUGCUUUGAGGGGAAUGAAUCAGCACAGCCCUGCCUGCACUGCGUUGGGAACAGAAGUUGCAUCCAGAAUUUUUGCAUCAUUCUGGACCAGAAAGCCAUUCCCUCCAUGAUGAAGACCACUGAUGCAGCCUUCCACUACAUCAUGAGUAAAACAACUACAGAACUAAAUACCAGGUUGGAACGUAUUUAAGAAAAAUGAAACGUCUUUUGAAUUGAAAUGUCUGUUUUGUUAUGGAAAAAUCUUUAGUAUUGUGAAGGAUAAGCAUUUCUGCCUGCCAGUAAGGUAAUUGCAGUGUAUUUUAAUGUUCAAGUUUUGAGUAGGGUGGCUAAUUUUUUUUAAACUCUCAUUUGAUAUAUUAAAGACCUUAUAAUAAGUGGUUUUCAUGUCACUGCGCUGUGGUAUAAGAUAACUUUCAUUAUUCCAUACUGUAUUCUGUAUUCUAAUUGUAGCUGAGGUAUUUAAAUAAGCAGUGUUAAAUGCAAAGUGUUGUGUGUAUCAAUGUAAAUAUUAAAUGUGAUGUACUUUAAUAAAAAGAGGUUUUGCAAUAUUUCUUGCCAUUUGUCUUUUAUAGAAACAACCCAUUAGCAACAAAAGUGGCUAUUAAUCAGUAUUUUAACACUUAACAUUGUUGAAUUCACAUUACACUGGUGUUGACCUUAAAUUAGGAGUGUUAAUUUUUAACACUGUAUUUCUGUGCCAACACCAGUGUAGUGUGGAAACAACAAUGAAUAGUGUUGAAC
Long non-coding RNA from Paramisgurnus dabryanus, 3286 nucleotides. RefSeq lists it as uncharacterized. The record is from RefSeq and is a predicted model, not a curated record. Lineage: Eukaryota; Metazoa; Chordata; Actinopteri; Cypriniformes; Cobitidae.